GAAAUGCGAUAAGUAAUGUGAAUUGCAGAAUUCAGUGAAUCAUCGUAUCUUUGAACGCACCUUGCGCUCCUUGGUAUUCCUUGGAGCAUGCCUGUUUGAGUAUCAUGAAAUCUUCAAAGUAAAUCUUUUGUUAACUCAAUUGGUUUCUACUUUGGUAUUGGAGGUCUUUGCAGCUUCACACCUGCUCCUCUUUGUUCAUUAGCUGGAUCUCAGUGUUAUGCUUGGUUCCACUCGGCGUGAUAAGUUAUCUAUCGCUGAGGACACUGUAAAAGGUGGCCAAGGUAAAUGCAGAUGAACCGCUUCUAAUAGUCCAUUGACUUGGACAAUACUUUUAUGAUCUGAUCUCAAAUCAGGUAGGAAUACCCGCUGAACUUAAGC
RNAcentral lists this unclassified non-coding RNA (378 nucleotides) under plant metagenome. RNAcentral describes it as "partial contains 5.8S ribosomal RNA, internal transcribed spacer 2, and large subunit ribosomal RNA". The stretch from base 1 to 105 matches the Rfam family "5.8S ribosomal RNA", at positions 50 to 154 of the family's 154-position model. The record is from RNAcentral.